Haplochromis burtoni (Burton's mouthbrooder) is the source of this 9577-nucleotide long non-coding RNA. RefSeq lists it as uncharacterized. The record is from RefSeq and is a predicted model, not a curated record. NCBI's taxonomy places the organism in Eukaryota, Metazoa, Chordata, Actinopteri, Cichliformes, Cichlidae. The transcript is spliced from 3 exons.
CCUUGUGGAGCACGGGUACUUGUCCUAGACGAAGAGCCUCUCUCCCUUCUAGAGCCCAAGUUUUAAUAUGGUGUCCAAUCAAAAGUGAUUAAGCAUCGCAGAGCACAAACAAUGCUGGCCCUUAAAUCUCUGUGAACCCUCAUUCACUCGAGCGAAUGAAAGAACACUCUGUCUGCGGCGGCAGAUGACAGACGCGCGCUUGAAGAUAAGUCUUCUGCGUGAGCCCUUAUCCUGCGAACACCCGCCGUUUGAGCAAAUAAAGAAAUAAAUAAAUGCAUUACAAAACGCCACACACAACAGAACUGGGUGCCACCUCUAAAAAGGCAUCAGUGGGGGAGGAGAAGGCUGUUAUUUUGUCCGUCAGUGUUACGUCCCCAACAUGGUGCCUCGAGAUGAUACCUAAAACCAAAUGGCACCGGACGAGGCCCAGUUGAGUAAGUGAACCAUAACUCAGCUGAUGGGAAUUAAGUCAAGAAUGGAGGACAAACAUGCAUGCAGAUGCAAAGACAGCGCAGUGAAUAAAAAGCCUGUUAAUGUUCAAGCACAAACCCAACUGCGAGCAAUAAAUCACUAAUAAAAUCAACCAGCUGCCUCAAGCGCAGCGUCUUUCACAUGAGAAAUUUCAAAAAAGCAAAUUUCCCACAAAUCAUCCUGUCUUGUACAUAAAUUACCAACAAUUACAAUGCAUAAUGUAUGCGGUAGUAAAACAAUACCCUGAACUAAUGCAUUAGAUACGUGCGGUACACAGCAGCAUGAACAUUUAAGAAAAAGGGGGGACCGCUAACUAAUGCUGAAAAGAUAUUGUUCUUUCUUUUUUUUUUUAAAUGCCAAGCGCAAGAGCAGAAUUACUUGGCAGCUGUUGUGCGAUUUUUCAUCAUUAAUAUAAGAGCUGCUUGCAGAGUUGCUUAAAUACUCUUUUUCAGCGCAUGUAAUGCAAUCUUGUACUCGGUAAGCUUCCAUUUCUAGCUGGAAUGACUGCGGGAAAAUACUGGAACCAGUCCUGCUAAACAUGGCAACCCCACUUGCGCGUAUAUUCUGUUAUAUUUAUUUUUUUCCCUAUAAAAGUCUGCUAUUGAACUGUUACAGCAUCCAAAAGGCACUGUUAGCAGAUCUCUAUUAGCCCGUUUCAGGGAUUCAAUAACCAUACACACAUGUAGACGCAUUAGCAAAUUUGAAACAGAGAGAAGCAGACAAGCGUCAUCACUGAGAAGUCAUGAGAGGGAGGAGCUGGCACUAUGACAACAAGACAUUAGCCGUCUGCAGCCUGCUGCCGUCAACAAGUCAGCAUGAGCACUACCAUCUGACUGGGCUUUCCCAACACUGCCCCCAUACACUCAGCCAAAACUAGCUCUUGCUGCUGCUGUUGCUGCUGCUGUUACUGGCUCCUGCUUUCAAUUUCAAGAGUGGGCCAAGUAAUGGCUUCAGCGUUUUGUGGUCUGCCGACACAUAUGGUCCGUGUAGCAGAACCAGUUCUGCCCCCCACCUCCUCCCCUGUAGAUCGUUUUGGGAUGUGCACGGAGAUGUGGGCAGAAGGAGACUGACACAGCCCCAGGGGCUGGCCGCAGUUAUGGGGGGAGACGUGUAUGGGUCUUGUUAUGACUGCCAAGAGAAUUGGUCUCAGCGGGGCCACCGCUGCAAUCAGUCCAAUGCCACAACGUGCAGAACUAACCAAACAGUAUUUGUUUAAGGUUUGGCCCUUUCUGAAAAUAAUGUGUAGGAGGUUCUUAAAAAUGCCACCAGCUGCAUCGUUCCCAAAGACACUUUAUGCACGACCAUAUGAGGAAUCGACCCCAACUUUGACCAAAUGGAGAACUCAUUAAUAAUUAGGUCAGCUUCCCAUUUAGCCUAAUGGCACAUGAGAAAUUGUAUUUACAUUAAAAACAAAACUUUUAUGAGCCAUCAUAGGAAGGGCCACAUUAACCUUUUCUUUAUUGCUCCCAUCAGCGCUAACGUCACCGCUGGCAGUUAGGCUAUCGCUGCCGUGGACGCUAUCUGGCUGCAUGACCUAGAUUAAAGGUUAUUUGCCCAAGUCACAGAGGCUGCUCCUUUGGCUCGCCCUUGUUGGGUUUCCUUAUCGGAGUUUGUCUGGACAAAUCUUGGACACAAAGCACCCAUUUUGUGCUCCUCUCUGGAGAUCCUGUUACAGCGUUCCAGACACGACGCGGUCCGCCACCAGUGCCUCUGGGAGCACGGCGUUUGGUUGGGGCGGUGCGAUUAGCUGCUUCCUCAACUUCAAGCAUAUGAUACAUGUGAACUCCUCUUACGUCCCUGAGCAUGCUUUUGUGCAGCGACAGGGUAAAAUGAUCGGGGGGGGGUCAGAUGAUGUCAUGCUGUGAGAAUUCGGAUAAAGUGACCCUCCCAUCCUCAUUACAAGACGAUCCAAGGGUCCUCCAAGUAAAUUCUGCCUUUAGCUACUUAAAUACUUUUCCUUUGUAACUACUAAAAUUCCCAUUUGUUGCACAAUAAUGUCCUGUCAUUAGAUGUACUAUGGAAAUAAUUGAGCAUCUCCACCCAGCAGUAUGCAUUUACAGUCUGUGUGUGGAUAGAGCUGCCUUGAGGAUGAUCCAGUGGCCUUAUUCCUCCUGUGCUCUACAAGGACAAAGAACAACUAAGAGAGCAGGGUCGAGCGAAGCAGGGAGAACGAGGAAAACGAGAGAGAAAAAGAGUAGUGUUCGCUGACCUCAUUCUGACAAGCCCGGGAAGAGUCUUUCCUUGGAACCGUUUCGCAAUAGCACUGUUGUUUAUACAGGUGGUGGGUGAGUCGAGCGAGAUAUGCAGAGAGCAUGCAUUUUGCAACACCUCAUUAUGAAUACUAAACACAAGCAGCAUGUCAAUUCACACAGCGCACACACAAACAAGCACUUCACCCACACUCCAAAGAGUGGUUCACGUUUCAUUUAAGUUGUGACAUUUGCAGGGAAUGCGUCACUUUGUGGGCAGUGGCCAAAUCAUUCCACUCUGUUUAAAUUUCAAAGUCAAGUUCCUUCACACAACCCAAGAGCUGUCAAAUGCUACUGUCCCCUCGUAUUGGCUGCCGACUGCAAGCCUCUUGGAACGGAUGCCUCCGGUUGCCUUGUGUGUUUGGCUUUUGGGCCGUCUUCGGCAACAACAUCCACUUGGCCAGAGUUCAGCCCUGUGGAAGGCUACAACAGCCCAAAGGUGGCUGCCAGGACCAUUGUUUAUGCAACAGUAUACUACUGCUAGGUUAAAGGGAAAAAGAGCAAAACAGUGGAGGGAAAUGAAGGGCUCCUACCUGCAGAAAUAAGCUUCUGUCUUUGUACACAUGCUUCUCUAUGUACAGGAAGGAACGUUUACACACUUGCUGCGGUGAAAGAAUAUGGCUGGAUCGUUGGCUGGCUAAGGCAUGGGUCUUCUGAGGUGAAUACGAGGAAUUCAGGUCAGUGCAGCCGAGACGUUUAACCAGAUCAAGCCGCUGCAGCCUGGGUGGAAAUAGCACGGGAGGCCACGGAGGGGGAAACCAGUGCGUCACAGCUCCCGGCCUGAAUCCAGGCUCACCCCCCACCCCACCUCCCCAAUGCAAACAAGAGCCAUAACUUCCCUAAUGAUCUGAGAUCAUGUACGCCUCACACACACUUCGCCAAUAGGAAGCGCUUCCUCUCCACCUUUGACCUCACAGUGGGUGUGUCUGCCUUCGACUUGACAUGUGCAUCAGGAAUGGUGCUAGAGUGAUUUGAUGAAUAGUUAGUGGCAAGUUCAUCUAUGAGGUUUGAAAAAAGAAAAGCUUUAAUCCGAGAAAAUCUUUCUGCAACACCAGGAAAAUCUUGAAAAAUCGGAUUUUAAGCCCUAACAAAUCUCUUAAUAUCUUAAAUGUUUGCUACAUUUUGAUAAUCUGACACUGACUUGUUUUCAUUUACAGUCUCUCCUCCCCCCCCACCCGUCACACACAAUUGCUCUGUGAUUCAGAAGUCCAACACCGCACUCACUCACACACACACACAUUGUAAACAGUCUUUAUUGAGACGUGAGUGCUUGUAUAAACAUAGACAAGCUCUAUUGAGGGUCCGGGGCUGGGUUGAACAAUAAGAGGGGGAAAGUUGCUGGACGUUCCUCACAGACGGUGUGUACAAAAUCCAAUUAUCAGAGCCGUGGCAUUAACAUUCCAGCAGUCUGGCAGGUGACGGCUCCGUCUUUUCAGCUCCCCCCACCACCAUCACACACACACACACACACACACACACACACACACACACACACACACACACACACACACACACACACACACACACACCGCCAGCAUGGGAUAGUCUCCCUAGGCAGCACCUCGACAAUACACUUACACACAUGCAGCCUUCUUCAGCUCCCCCUUUCUAAGAACCCCCAAGUAUUGAGACAUAUAUAGCAGGAAGAAGGCAAAGAGAGGGGAGGCAGUUGGGAGGAGUGUGGGGUCCACCAGCGACACUGAUCUUUUCUUCAGGAGAUCAGCGCAACCAGCCUAGCAGGCAGUAUCAGUCAAUGGGGCAUUCUUCUCCUCUCUGUGUUUGGGUGAGAAUAUGUUGAUCGUCGAUAACGGCGCUUUGAUCGCCAUAAUGGGGAAACCGCGUUUUGUUUUGAGCAUUUGCCUAAAAACAGUGAAUGCUUUGUCAGCCUUCGGGCGAUGUUUGCGGCAUACAAGACGCCGAACUCGACAAAGGUUGAAGGUAAAACAAAACUAUUGCUGUUCUUGGCUACAGGGCGGCGUCUGAAGGAUUAAAAUAAAAGCCGGCACUUUAGGGCUUCUCAGCGAGGGAAGCAAAACACACACAAAAAAUACAACUAAAGAACUAAAACUGAGACUUUAAAGUGCUUCUUCUUUGAUUACACACACUAACUCCUGUAAUUAGCCUCUGCACCUUCUUCCAGCAUUAAUCCGUCCGGUUUGACAAAGCUCUAUCCACCGUGCAUCGUUACCAGGUUUUCUUUUUUUUUUUGCUAAACAUACUGUGCAUACAGACCUUAUCACUAUAGGAUAUGGUGUACGUGAUAGUGUGCAUGUGAUAUGUAAAGCCUCUGCCUGGUGUCAUGCUCUGUAUCCUUGUCAGGUCCUAUAUAUAAACAUACAUCUGGCCCCCAUUCUGCUCUUUCCAUCAUGUCAUCCUGCCUACAUGGGAGCAGGCUGUGGGAGAUACAUACAGUUCAGUACAGGACAGGACAGUAGGGCUGGAAGAAAUUAUUGUUUUCAUUUUUUUUGACAGAUUCUUUUUUAUUAUAUGUCAAAACGCCUGGUCUUAAGCUUCUCAGAUCCAAAAGCAAAUCUUUCUUUUAUGGUUUUUGCCUGACUAGUAGAUUAAGAUUCAAGAAAAUUCAACUUAAAGAUGCAUAUACUAAGAAAAAAAUACUCAGGCUGAAAGCUGGGAAUAAGAAACGUUUGACAUUUUUGGCUUCGUAAAUGAUGAUUAAUGAAUCUAAAUUAAGCUGAACUAACUUUUUCUUGAUCAACUGAUACAGUACAUGUGCUGAAGCCAAACACCCUGCUGCUAAAAAGUUAGAAGUCUGUUCACUGAAAUCAUUUUAUGCAUUUAUUCUGCAUCAAUAGCUAACUAGGAUUUUAUGGGCAUUUUGACUUGAUGUUGUAUUCCUUCCUUUAAAACAGUUACCGUUUUUUUUUUAAAAAAAACGCCACCUUUAGCUUCUCUUUUCACAGCUUAAAGUAACUGAGAAGUCUACUUUGUCCCCCUAUAAACCUCCUUUUGUUGCUCCUAUUCUCCCCCCCCUCUUUGUGUGUCGCUGUCCUCCUUUGCGGUGAGAUGUUAGUCAAGUGUCUUGUGGCUUUCUCCACCCUCACCAGAAGGCCUGCCCGCGGUUAAUUAUUCUUGGAUGGCGGAUGAAAAAAAAAAUUUGGCAGGGGCCUGCAUCGUUUUCCUGAUGGCCGCCGACCCUUCAACACCCUCCUUUUGAGUCUCAAACUCCCGUUUGUGGCUUUGUUUUGGAUAAGAGCGGAGAAAAUGUGGAGAAAAAAAUUUCAUGCUGGUUCGUAUCCAAGGGUUGUUGUCUUACUGUAUUUCAGGACUGGAAUUAUUAAUUGUAAUGUAAAACUGAAAAAGGGAUACUUUAGCAAAGCCAUACGAAGCUUUGCUGACAUGCCCUUGGAUGAAAAGAAAGUCAUAAUAAAACUUUUCCUGGGAAACUGAAUGAAUAUGGUUUAUGUAUGUGAUUGUUGGUAUAAUUCCAAAGUUAAAAAGAACCAUUAAGGACUGUGGGCUACCAUUCCCUUGCCUUCACACAGUUUAUCCCAUAAAUUUGCGCAAGCAGUGAGCACACCGAGUAAUACGCUCUCCACCAGAACUUUAAGUCUAUUACACAGUGCGUUCAACAAUCUGAGGCCCGGAGAAACAGUAUUUCAUCAUGCAACUACUGGAAAUAUGCCCACUGACAGGGAAUCUGGAUUGCACAUACACACACAUAUUUUUUAAAAAACAACAACAAAAAAACUCUUCCCACCCACCUGUUCUUGAGACAUUUUGCUAAAUCUAUCAACUUCAUCUGCUUGCAUGUAUUUUAUUCCAUACCACACAGGCCCACAAGCAGAAAGCACACGCGUUUGCAUGUGCACGAGUCCAAACAUUCAAAUGUAACGUACACGUCUUCUCUCUGGGGCUGCAACCCGAUCCCAAAGCACUCCAAUGUGACAUUAAAAACCCAGACUCUUUACCGUUAGGAACCUGGAUUCCCAACAUGGAAACAAACAAGAUGGCUGCCGUGUCUCCAACUGAAGGCGUUGUUCCUCGGCUCCCAUCUGAAUGGAGUUAAGAGGCUGGCUAGCAGGAGCGGAUAGGAGAAGAGUCUCCUGGGGCAGUUGGCUCAGCAAGCGGGACCAGAGGAUGGCUGCACCGUGGAUUAGGGCCCCACAGUGGUCCAUUGUUAAUUGGGCGCCAUGUGUGAAAGCUACAGAGAGAUUAGUUUGUACAGCUGCUGCCAUUUGUCAUAACUGCCCUUAACAAGACACACAUGGCAACGCAAGUUACAGCCAGAAGUUUUGCAGAAAAAAAGGGAGUAAAAAAUGUCAGGCGAGCGUCUAACAGUUUGCAGAACAGGGCCCGCAUAAGCAGAUGAAGAUGUUCCUGGGAAACACCGAGCAGACUCGGCGGGGAUCCCAUAAGAGAUGAUGAGCUUGAGCAUUACUCAUUUAGCCAUCUGUAGGUCAACUAGAGUCAUUAUCAUAACUGCUCAAAAGGACUAUGCUAAACCAGCACAGAUCCCAGACCACGGGUUGCAAACAAUUCGGUGAAAAUUAUGAGGGAAGAUCUGCGAUUACAUCACGGCCCUGUUGGGCAGAGCUCAAAUUAGUCAGCGUCUGGGUUUUGUUCAACGAGCAAGAGUUGGAUACAACACAGAUAACAAGAGCCUGAUGACCUCCUGUUAGCCAAAUUUCCCUACUAAUGUAGAAUACAGCAUUAGGUUUAGGAGACGGAUGCUGGAGGAGAGGCUUUUUUUUUUAGGGGGCGAGCAGGAAUGUGCAGUGUAAUUGUGGGUUGGAGGUAUGUGCACAUGUUGGAGGCCUAAUUACAAUCUUGACUUGGUAAAUCUGGAACAAGCUUUUAAAAAGGAAUCCCACUUUCAGCUUUUUCUUUUUUAUGCCUGACAGCUGCCGGAGUGGCGAGGAGUUGCUGCUCACCAAAACUAAACGCAGUCUUUUGUGGAGAAGUGCAGGUGAGUAACCACAAGACGGAUUUGUUGCAGUUUCUACGUGCAUAAGUGAGAACACAGGUCUCCAUGUGUACAUUUUUGGAUUUGCAUGUCAAAUUUAGGGACGCUUCUCUGAAAGUCCCUGUGAGCUAAACAACCAGCUGGAGCUUUGUGCCAGCAUAGAGAGCGGGACAAUUCGAGAAGAACUCAAGCUGUUGGGAUCCGGAUCGUCACACAGACUUUUAGUGGACACCAUGGUAACGAAGCCUCUUCUUCUUCAAGAAAAAUAAUGGACUUCAUUAACUAUCCUGUUAGUGCUCCUGCUGGCUUUAAUCACGGGAGCACACACGGCACUGGACCAGCCCACUCCUAACACAAGUAUUAGCACUUUGGGCUAACAAUUUCAUCACUACUACAACAUCAAAAUUCCCCUCAUUUCAUUUUGAAAAAGUUAUAAUUAAUAGCUACAUUUUGUGAUUACAAUUUGUAGUAUGGUUUAAAAUAGGAAGAGCUUAUUUUCACUUCUGAUUUAAGUUGCUGGGUUGUUGUGAAUGCUGCAUUUAUGGCGGUGCAAUUCUCCCAUAUUUAUGCACAUGCAUCUACAGAUAAUAUGAAGGAAAUGUGCACUUUUCUGUUCUCCUUUUUAAUCACUGAGUUUUUUUACUAAUGCCUUGAUGUAAAGAGAGAAGCAGAACUGCCUGUGACAGAGGAGAAAGUACCUCUGUGGAAAAUGUGUAACAUCUGCAGUUUGGUGAUCCUGAGAUAUGGGAUUUUCAUGUCGUUACAAACAACGAGGAGUCCACAUUUCCUCUCCUCCUGUCUACCCCGUGUAUGGCUCACUUUAAUCAAACACAGCCCUGCUGCUUCUUCGUGAAAACAAGUUGCUGUACAUGCUAAAAAUGUAAAUGACUUCUUUUUCCCCUUUUUUGCUAUAUAACUUUUCUUACUGUAAGAGCCAGUAAAAAUAAUAUAUAUGCACUCAGUGUUUAUUGUUUAUUGCGCUGCUGCUUAACAGUUGGUUUCUAAAUUUGGGAGGUUUUUUUUUUUUGGGAAAAGUCAACCCAACAUAUGCGAGGGAGGAGUGCAGCUCCUUUUGCUUGCUUUGACAACUCAAUGGGGUGCUGAUGAAUCCGUCCCAAGCAGGCCAUUCCCAAGCCCCAGACACCAUAUCCCCUCUCUGACCCACUGCACUGACUUUAGAAAGAAAUUCUCUGGGGAUUCGCCCCCCACCCCAAACAACAACAUGCCCACCCAAAAGUACAUUUCGCACGGCGCUGUGAUGGCGGGCCUCUCUUUUUCUGUUCCACUCAGGUCUUGUCGAGCCGUCACAGUGAUGGGCCGUACUGUAACGCCAGACAAAGGAAGAGACAACCAUCACUCUAGGCCACUGAUCGGCCUUGUCUGGCCUGAAAAGACUUUGAUGGGGCAAAGCAGAGUGGGGGGUGCUGCUCAGAGAAGUCAGUGUCUCCUGGGCAACCACUCCGAUUGUCUGUCCCUGCCCAAAGUUCCCAAUAACACCCCACCUACUACCCCUUCCUUUUUUUUUCUUCCCUUCAUUGGUUGUUCACAAGCCUCCAUCCUGGGUGAAGGGGACUGGCUUUUGCAUAAAAGUCUCAUUCUGAUACUCGAGGGUGCUUUUCUCCUGACUGACUGGAAAAAAUGCAAGGUCAAAGAACAUCUUCACACAAAUUCUCUAACUAAGACUUUUUGUCUUCCCUCUAAACCUUCUUAUCCUUCUUUUCACUCCAGACUCUGCUGUCUUACAUGACCAGUCUAGCAGGCAGAUGGGACAACAGUAGGUUUUUCUAGCAGUUACGCUAGUACAACGGUGAAGAAGAGGGCGCAGCCACUGGAUGGAGAAGCUCAGGCAGCAGGGAGGGCCCGCUUUGUAAGGCAGGACAGUGAUAAGGUCUGGGAUAAGGGUGAAUGUACCCAUUUGUCUUCAUUUGGUAGG